This 611-nucleotide ribosomal RNA is filed under the name Tolypothrix bouteillei AUS-JR/DB/NT-024. RNAcentral describes it as "bacterial SSU rRNA". It matches the Rfam family "Bacterial small subunit ribosomal RNA", at positions 107 to 751 of the family's 1533-position model. Lineage: Bacteria; Bacillati; Cyanobacteriota; Cyanophyceae; Nostocales; Tolypothrichaceae. The record is from RNAcentral.
UCAGUAACGCGUGAGAAUCUGUCUUCAGGUCGGGGACAACCACUGGAAACGGUGGCUAAUACCGGAUGUGCCGCAAGGUAAAAGAUUAAUUGCCUGAAGGUGAGCUCGCGUCUGAUUAGCUAGUAGGUGUGGUAAGAGCGCACCUAGGCGACGAUCAGUAGCUGGUCUGAGAGGAUGAUCAGCCACACUGGGACUGAGACACGGCCCAGACUCCUACGGGAGGCAGCAGUGGGGAAUUUUCCGCAAUGGGCGAAAGCCUGACGGAGCAAUACCGCGUGAGGGAGGAAGGCUCUUGGGUUGUAAACCUCUUUUCUCAAGGAAGAAAAAAAUGACGGUACUUGAGGAAUCAGCAUCGGCUAACUCCGUGCCAGCAGCCGCGGUAAUACGGAGGAUGCAAGCGUUAUCCGGAAUGAUUGGGCGUAAAGCGUCCGCAGGUGGCAAUGUAAGUCUGCUGUUAAAGAGUGAGGCUCAACCUCAUAAAAGCAGUGGAAACUACAUAGCUAGAGUGCGUUCGGGGCAGAAGGAAUUCCUGGUGUAGCGGUGAAAUGCGUAGAGAUCAGGAAGAACACCGGUGGCGAAAGCGUUCUGCUAGGCCGCAACUGACACUGAGG